Clarias gariepinus (North African catfish) is the source of this 2201-nucleotide long non-coding RNA. RefSeq lists it as uncharacterized. The record is from RefSeq and is a predicted model, not a curated record. The transcript has 3 exons. NCBI's taxonomy places the organism in Eukaryota, Metazoa, Chordata, Actinopteri, Siluriformes, Clariidae.
UAAUCCGGAAUUUUUUUUUUUAAGAUGAUAUUUUUAACUCUGUGUAGGCUUUGUCCAACAUGUCAUGCAAAGUGUCCGAGUCUCAGCAUAUACAUGUGUAAAUCUAAUUCAAAUAGCCUGUGCCAUAUGUACCGUGCCAGGUGUUGCGCUGUACUACAGGAUUUUUAUCAGAUGGGUUAGUUUUUUGGAUAAUGAGUUGGGGAGUACUGCUGUAGCAUCUCCAUGGUUUUAUUCGAAUCUGUCUAUUUUUUACAGUCUGACAUGUUGGUCAAUACACCGUCAUAUCAUGGAGGGAAAUGCACAGAGACAUUGUAGAGCAUUAUGAUAUGUAUAGCUGGGGAUGCACUUAUCCGAGCCCUGGAUCCCUAUUGGGUCUCUAUUCCACUGUUGUAUUUUAUAUUGGAUUGAACACAGCACAAUUUUCCUUUAAGCACAUUUUACAUGACUGCACCCAGUUCAGUUCAGUGUAUCAACUGUAUCACUGUAUUUGUUAUCUACAGUGUGCACUCUAUAUGCAGCUUUAUCUCCUAUGCAAACCAAGCCAAGUUUAAAAAGUCAAACUAUAAACUAUGGACAAGUUAAUUUUUAAAAGAAGAUUCUAUUCAGAUUAUAAGUUUUUAUUUGUUUCUGUGACUUGUGUUUCCUUUUUCAAAUUGACCACUAUUAUGCCUGCUAUUAAUCAAGUCCUGAAACGUUUUAAUAAAGUUCAAACCACUGAGUCUUUAUUGUGUGUCUGUGGCAUACACUGUAUCAUGUAAACAGUACUUCAUAUAGGGACGGGAAUCACCAGGGACGUCCUGAUAAAAAAUUAUCACGUCACCUAGGUCCCAAUUUGAUUUGUACUGCGAUUCUGUUAGUAUUAUUAUUUUAUAAAUGUCCAGAUUCGGUAUUAAACUUUUUUCAGAUUUUCUUACAAUUCUAAACAAAUGGCAAAUAAUUUUCUCGUACAACACAGAACGCUGUGCUGUGUGAAUAGCUUAUAGUGCAUUGAUUAGUUUUUUAUUUAAUUCUUAAGUCACUGUGGUGAUACAUGACUUGCCACAUAAAGAACUGCAAUAUGUAUCUGAAGCGAUGUUUUCCUGUCUCUAACUUAUAAACUGUAAGACAACUCGCACAACUCUUCAGCGUGAUGACAUAUCCACAUUUUCCCCCCACAAAAAGCAAGCUGAUCAUAAUCAUGACUGAUAUCCUUCAAAAAUAUUACUUAGCUCUUCACUCGAUCAUGCUUGAUGGUACUGUAGUCUACAUUAAUAUCAGACCAGUAUUCUGCAUGUGAACACAGCAAAUGGAUUUGAGAAGAAUUCACAAUGGGUGAAAUAAAAGCUAAUUGUUGAGUCAGUCCCUCAAAUGUGUUUAUUCAGAAAUGUUAAUGGUGGUGUUACAUGUCUCUGUAUGUCUCAGAGAGCUAGAGUUACCGUGUACACCACUAUAGGACAAAGGCCGAGCUAAUAAUCAGUUAUUUUCUCUUUUUUCCUUUCUUCUUGUCCUUCUCCAUGAGCUAUAGAUGUGACGCUGAACCCUUCAUACAGACAUCCUGACACACUACGGUCGCUCUUCUCAUGCCAUCGCACCUGACUUGUCAUGACACUUGUGUCUUUCUUUCUUCUGCUGUUUACAAAUGUGCAUGCAGAAAAAGAUUUUCACUCACUCACCAUCUAUACUGCUUUAUUCUGUCUAACAGGGUCGUUGGGGGGGGGGGUCCAAGGCCAGAAGACUUAGAGCCUUAGGCGAGAUACACAAUCCACCACAGGGCGCACUCACACACACGACGCCAUGCCAAUCAACCUGUAUGUUUUUGAACUGUGGGGAAAAACCCCCCACCAAGCAUAGGGACCAACUGUACUCAAGCAGACCCCAAGGCGGGAAUCGAACCCCAACCCUGGAGGAGCAAGAUGGCAGAGCUAACCACUAACCCACUGGGAUGGCAGAACAGGAUUUUCCCCUCCAAAAAUCAUUGGUAAAAGCUUGUAAGGUUGCAUCACUCCACACAUGCAGACCCGAGGCAGGAAUCAAACCCUUGACCCUGGAGGUACGAGGCCAAAGUACUAACCACAACUCCACAACUUCACCGUCAUUCAAGAAUGCACCAGUCUAUGAACAAACACACUUACAGUAACAUGCUGGGCAAGAUUCAUCACCGGAUAUAAACUAUGCUGCGAUGCGAAUUAAAAUGCUAGAUUUUUUAAGAUCCUAGAAUUUGA